RNA transcript from Numida meleagris (helmeted guineafowl), 3278 nucleotides. It is a transcript of the gene named dynein regulatory complex subunit 1, with no coding region annotated. Lineage: Eukaryota; Metazoa; Chordata; Aves; Galliformes; Numididae. The record is from RefSeq and is a predicted model, not a curated record. The transcript has 16 exons.
UGGGCUGCAUUGCGCAUGAGCAGCAACGAGGGCCGACGGGAAGGCGCCGGACACACAUGCGCACUCGUUGCCUGGCGACGCAGCGCCGCAAGCAGCCAGGCUGCCGCCACGCGCAUGCGCUGCUCUCUUGUUGCCGGGCGACCGCGCGGCGCCUCGGCGUUGGCGCCGUGCCACUGCGCGUGCGCAGUAGGUGUGUUUCCAGGUAACGCGUUUUGGGAUGAGCCGCGGAGUGGGCGCGGAGUUGGUGGGGCAGCGGUGGCGGGAUCCGGCCCCGGCCCCGGCCCCGGCCCCUGGCCCACACCCGGACCUAGACCCGACCAAGCCGGGUCCCGAGGAGCGGAUCGCCGCUCGCCGCCGCCGCAUCGCCGCCCGCAUCGACGCCGAGCGCCGGUGAGGAGCGGGCCGGCCAUCCCGCGGCCUGUUCCUCCGCCUGACGGCAGACGGGCACCCCGAGCCCUGCUGCUCUCGAGCCUUCUGCCCUCCCCUCCAGGCCCCUGCUGCUUUGGUCCGGCCCGGGCCCCUCAGCCUGAAGCGUGCCAGGUCAGGGUCUGCCCUUUUUCAGACCCUCACGAGCUCAGGCCUGUCCCCCGUCCCAACAGCGCCGUGUUGGCAGCCUCCAGCCAGCACCAGUGCAGUGCCUUCCCCCAGGAAUCCACCGUCAGAGAUGACCUCCUCUUCCCCAAACGGGCUCUAGGGUUGAUGCACGCAGCCCCAGAGCAGUACCCGCUCACUCCAAACUGGUACCUGCCCCACAUCCAGGGGCAGCACAAGCUCGGGGGCCACCUGCCUGGAGCUGGCAUCAGUUCUCAGAGCAUCCUCUGCCCCACACGAGCAGCGGGCCCAGGACCACAGAGCCGAGCCCUUGGAGAAAAUGAGGAGCCCAAGGAGGAGGCUGAGGAGGUGGAAAAGGAGAGAAGCAGCCACAAGCAGGUGGAGGAGAGCCAGCAGAAGCUGGCCAAGCUGCUCUCUGAAGGCACACGGAUGGUGACAGAUAUUCAGGUGGCUGCUGACUUGAGGGAAGUACAGAGGAGAGCAGAACAGGCAGAGCUGAAGCUACAGAGGGUGGAGAAGCUGGAGAAUGAAGCCAGAUCCAGCACCUGCAAGUUUGAGGAGAUCACCUCAAAGUGGGCCUUGGCCAAGAAGAUGACAAUCCCCCAGGAGCUGUGGCAGCUGCUGAACCAACAGCAGCAGCAGUGCACGCAGCUUCUGGAGGAGAAGAACAAGCUCAUUGGUGAACUGCAGCAGGAGCUGAAAAACAAAGAUGAGCAAUACGUGCAGACCAUUAAGAAGCAGUCAGAUGACAUCCACCUGCUUUUGGAGAGAAUGGAGGAACAGAUCAGGAUGAUGUUGAAAACGUACCGUCACAAAAUCCAUCAGAUUGAGAAAGCUUUUGAGCUCGAACGGCGAGAGCUGCUGGACAACAACAGAAAGAAGUGGGAGGAGGCCGUCCAGGCCCUCAACACAAAAGAGCUGGAAUACCUGCAUGCCCGUUUGAGGAAGUUGGAAGAGUAUGAGAAACAGCUGAAUCAGCUGCGUGUGCAGGAUGAGGAGGAGUAUAACAGCAUGAAGAUUCAUCUGGAGAGUGAUGUGCAGAACCUGGAGAGGCAGCUCCAGCAUAUGAAAGCUGUCUAUUUGGUGAACCAGGAGAAGCUGGAAUACAACCUCCAGGUGCUUAAGAAGCAGGAUGAGGAGAACACCAUCAUCAGAUCACAACAGAAGAGGAAGCUCAACCGGCUCCGCAGCUUACUCAAUAAUCUGAGAACAAAGCUGGUCACACAAGAGAAGCAGUUCAGAGAGGAGAACCAGAGUCUUGCAGCUGACUACGAGCGCAUCACGGGACAGUGCAAGGAGGUGCAGAGGAGGAUGAGGCAUUUUGCUGCCAGUGAUGCUGAGAAGUUCAUGAAGGUCUGGCUUAUGAACGAGGAGGAAGCCAAAGGGUUGAUGCGGAAAGCCCUCGAUGCAGAUCGUGUCAUUCACACCCAGCAACUGGGGCUGCCCUGGGAAGAGCCUCAUUACUGGUUCCUCAACAACGUCGGCCCCCUCAGGCAUUACAAGGCAAAGAGGAUGGCUGCCAAGUUGGCUGCAGAGGUCCUAACAGAGAGCACCUGUGGGGGACAGGAGGAGAAAGAGAAGGAGAAGGAAGAAGUGGGCAGCGGAGAUGGACAAGAAGAAAACGCAGCAAAAGCUGGGGAUACAGUCACACCUCUGCUAAAUAUCUCCAAGAAGACUGCCAAGAGGAUCCUGGAGCUCGUGAGCGAUGAGUCGGGCUUCCUCAUUGAAAGAAAGCUGCUGAGGCCUCUGCGUGCACUGGGAAAGCGUGAAUGCACCCUCUUGAGGCUUGACUCCAUCUUUUCGGCCCUCGAGAUUGACAGUGAGGAUGACCUGUACCAGCUGGUGGAUUUCUUCAUGAAGUACAAAGCCAAGGAAGGAGCUCUCAGCCAGAGCCAGGGAAGCCCAGGUGGAGAAGAUAUCACAGACCUGGGUGAGGACAGAGCAGAUGGUGAAUCCGGUGCCCAGAGUGAUGAGCUGAAAUCCUCUCAGAGACCGCUGGGCUCCCUUCCAUCUGUGUACAUCCACGCUGAUGACGUUCUAAAGAUCCUGAAAGCAUUUGUGCAGGAUUUUCACAAGCUGAGGGAGGAGGACAGUUCUGCAAAGGAGGUGCUACAGGUACGGGACAGCUCUAAGGACGGGGAGUACUGGGAAGCCUUGGCACAUGUUAUCCCAGAGCCAACACUGAAGCUGUGGGACGCUCUGGCGGUGGCACUGGAGGAAUAUUAGUGAGUACUUGGCACUGGGGACAAGGUAGGCUGAUGACUUGGCUGGGGGGAUUGCAGCAGGGCUGACACAGGCUGACCCUGCACACUGGCUGGGAGAGAGAGGAGUCUACCAACCUGGUGGCUGUCAUUGCUCACAUGGGCAGGGGCUCAGCAGGGACCUCUUGUGAUGUCCCCUAGGUGACUGAGAGGCACUGGACCCAGGGUGACAAGGGACAGUGUGCAGGGCUACCUUUGUGGGAGUGCUAGCUCUCAGUGCCAGCACAGAGGGAGCUCCUGGUGCUUGGGGCUGGCGCUGGAUCUGCACUGGGGACCAGCGGAGUGAUGCACAGCACCAGUGACAGACAGCAGUGCCUCAGGAGCAACAUCCUCACGCGGAGGGCCAACCUGCUUGCUGAAGCAGCUGCCCUACAGCAGCAGAAUUCGGAGCUAAGCCUGAUGCUGGAGCAGUUCAUCACCUCUGGAGAGAGUGCAGUGUCCUCCUGACGUGCAGCCUGCAGACAC